UGCAAAACACUCGCCACCUAAACCAGGAAGCAAAACACACGUAAACACGGACUAAGGAACCAACAAAUAUAAGGCAGAAAGAGGAGUUGUUUUCAUCGUCUUGCUGUCCAGAAGCGAAUAGAAACCCGCUGUGGAUGAGUUUAUUCCGCUAAACGCGCGCGGUUGCUGUGGGCAGUAUGGGACAGCACAUGGGAAAACGUGAGCCAUCUCCUGAGUCCAAGACUUUGUCAGACCCAGCAUCCAGAACCACAGCGGACUCCGACUCUCAGGACGAGGUCUUUGGCAUGAACGACUCGGACGUCAACCAGAACAAAAACCGUUCAAACAAAAGCCAGACGACGUCAGGCACCGCCCCUCCCAGCACUGGACAGACCAACCAGGGAGGCGGAUUUUGGCCACGCCCACACUUGGUCCGCCUUUUUUCCCGUGAUGCCCCGGGCCGAGAGGACAACACCUUCAAAGAGCGGCCGUCGGAGUCGGACGAACUUCACACCAUCGAGGAGGCCGGAGGAGCGACGUCCGAAAACGCAGAGUGAAAGCAUAUAAACCCAACUCGUUCACUUGCUUCUUUCGCUCUUCGACACCCAACAUGGCGUCUUCAGGCUCAGCAGGACAGUCCGGCUUCAGACUCGGGCGCGCAAAGAAAAACCCUGGAGUGAUGGAUCAGAUCGGAAAAAUCUUUGGAGGUGAUAAGAAGCGGAAGAGCAAGGGGGAUCAGAAGGGAGGCUCAGUGAAGGCGCAAAAAGGGCGUGCCGGAGCAGGACAGGGCACGCUGACCCGCAUCUUCAAAAUGGGAGGAACCAGAGCAGCAUCACCGGCCAAGCGCUGAGCUCCAGCUCUUUUAUUGUUCUCCAUUAAACAUGAUGACCCUGAACGGAGAGAAAGGAAAGAAGAAGGACGCUUUUAUUUCCUCCUUCACUUACACAUUUUUUUUCCUGCUAGUGUCUCCCGCACUAACCUGAACCUGAAGAUCGUGCUCAUCCUUCUCUGUCUCUUUCAUCUAUUCGUUUACGUCGAUUUCUCCAUCCGUUGAGUUCAGCGUGGUCAGAUCCUCGGCUACUCCCUCCUACCGUCUCUUCCCUGUCCUUUGAGAUCAUGAGGCACUGAGAACCUUUUGAGGAACGCUUUCUGAUUAUGAUAGAGAACUAACCGUUAUCACAUACCGUUAUAUUACACCGUGUAGUUAUAAGCUAAUUUCGACGGUUUCAGAAAGGUUCAAGGAGCUAGUUCAGCUUCAGUCACAGUAGCUAGGACUUUCCAUAUGUAGAUUAGCGAACAUCACAAAAUUUUCACAUGAACGACAAAAUUGCCUCAAAAGGUUGUAGUGUGUCAUUUAUAUUACUGAAUAUUAGUCUUGUGGUGCUGUCUUAGUCUCAAGAGUCAGUGUGACUAGCAUUUAGCGUCUAACCGCUGUGCACAGGAUAUACUCACGCGUGGCUUUAUGUGGUCUCGUCUUCAACUCACUCUUCCUCAACGUCUCAGUGGAUCUGACUGCCAACUGUUCAGCUAAAAAAAAAAAAAGAAACUAAAAUGUCGUCUCUUGUUGAUUUUCAGUCACUUAUCUUGACUUCUGUCUUUUUCUCUCUCUCAUUCACUAUCAGUCUUUGGCCUUUGACUACUUCUUUAAGCUUUUUGAAUAAAAUCAUGCCGAUACAUGAUAUGGACACAGCUAGCAUAAAAAAGCAGUAGAAAUUGCGCAUGUGUUUGUCAGUUAGACUGCUAAUGGAGUGACGGGAGUCAUUAAAAAUGCAAAUAAAGGAGACAAAUAUGUGUCA
RNA transcript from Hemibagrus wyckioides, 1775 nucleotides. It is a transcript of the gene named myelin basic protein b, with no coding region annotated. The record is from RefSeq and is a predicted model, not a curated record. NCBI's taxonomy places the organism in Eukaryota, Metazoa, Chordata, Actinopteri, Siluriformes, Bagridae. The transcript is spliced from 6 exons.